Long non-coding RNA from Helianthus annuus (common sunflower), 412 nucleotides. RefSeq lists it as uncharacterized. The record is from RefSeq and is a predicted model, not a curated record. The transcript has 2 exons. Lineage: Eukaryota; Viridiplantae; Streptophyta; Magnoliopsida; Asterales; Asteraceae.
CACUCUUCACACCCUAGAGAAAGAAACUAGAUAGAGAAAGUGCAAGAUCAAGCCAUACAGUUCAUGGGCUACUCAGUUUGCAUUGAGAAUUCAUCAUUUCAAAACGGUUCCAUCUCUUCGAAAUCAAAAGCAACUUGGCUCAUAAUUGAGUUUUAAGGUUUUGAACUUAUAUCUUGUUCUUUUUGGUUUUAAGUUAGGAACUUGAGGCCAAAGAAGGUCAGAUCUAGCAUAUUUGCCACUGAUGGCCGAGCUAGGGGUUCUUCAGAUAUAUUUUGCCAACCCCUAGCAAGAAGUAUGUUUCAACGAGUUGAUUUAUUCUCACCGAAUAAUAUGUUCUUGGUGAAAUGUAAGAACCAAUGUUUAUUCCAGCUAAUGGUUUAGGGUAAAUUACACUUUUCGUCCUUUAUGUUUA